AGCAAACUGAACCACAGCUACGCGUCGCCGAUUAUUAAUUUUACCCCUCACUAAAACGAAAUAAACCGAAAAAGAAAAAGAAAUAAAAUAAAACAAAAUCGGUUUUGCAUUUUUUUUAAUCGGCCAUAUUAUUUUAAUAAUUUAUUUAUUAUUACUUUUUUAAUUUUAGGAGCGAGAUCGCUAAAUCUCUCCAAAACACAAAAAAAUUCAAAAUCCCAAAAUCCCUCACUAUGGCCUUUCAUGUAGCUUGCCCAAUUACAUGUCAGCGAAUUUGCUUCUGUUCGCUAGGGUUUCCUCGGAAUCUCCAGUCUCCCAACUCCAAGAAUGGCUUCUUGCAGGAAGUGAUUCGACUUGAAGAGUUUUUGAAAGACCCUUGGGGCGUUAGGGUUUCUCGAGAAGGGACCGUGCAGGUCCCCUUACCUAAAGUCGCGCCGGUUCCGGCUGGGGAUGUUGGUGGCGGCGCUGGUGAUGCCGUGGAUGAGGCGGCCUCUUUGUCGGCUCAGGCAAAGCGCCUCGCGCUUCAGAGAAAGGCUGCUGCCGCGAUGGUGGCGGCUGAGCAUUAUGCUAGAAGGGUUGAGUCGGGUGAUAUUGCGAUUGCAUCAAAAAAUUAUGCCAUAGAAGAGCAGGGUCAGUCCAACACAAAUUUAAUGUGUCGCAUGUGCUUUUUGGGUGAAAAUGAAGGAAGUGAGAGGGCAAGAAGGAUGCUUUCUUGCAGAAAUUGUGACAAGAAGUACCACAGGAGCUGCUUGAAAUCUUGGGCUCAACAUAGAGAUUUAUUUCAUUGGAGUUCCUGGACCUGCCCUUAUUGUCGGACCUGCGAGGUAUGCCGAAGUACUGGAGACCCAACUAGGCUUAUGUUCUGCAAAAGGUGUGAUGGUGCAUACCAUUGCUAUUGCCAACAUCCAUCGCACAAGAAUGUUACUUCUGGGCCAUAUUUAUGCCCAAAGCAUACUAGGUGUCACAGCUGUGGAUCCAAUGUCCCUGGAAAUGGUUUAAGUGUGCGGUGGUUCUUGGGAUACACUUGUUGUGAUGCUUGUGGAAGGUUGUUUGUGAAGGGAAAUUAUUGCCCUGUAUGCUUGAAGGUUUACAGAGACUCUGAAUCGACACCCAUGGUCUGCUGUGAUGUUUGUCAGCGCUGGGUGCACUGCCAAUGUGAUGGCAUCAGUGAUGAAAAAUAUCUGCAGUUUCAAGUAGAUGGAAAUCUCCAAUAUAAAUGUGCAUCAUGUCGUGGGGAGUGCUACCAGGUUACAGAUCUUGAGGAUGCUGUUCGAGAGCUUUGGAAGAGGAGAGAUGGCGCUGAUCGAGACCUGGUUGCUAGCUUGAGGGCUGCUGCAGGGCUGCCAACUCAAGAAGAAAUAUUUUCUAUCUCUCCAUAUUCAGAUGAUGAGGAAACUGGUCCUGUGAUGUUAAAAAAUGAAUUUGGGCGUUCCCUGAAGUUCUCUCUCAAAGGGAUAGCUGACAAGUCACCAAAGAACAGGGAAUAUGUAAAGACAUCUUCAAGUAAAAAAUAUCUCAAGAAAAAGGCAUAUCAGGCUUCUUUAAUUAGCAAAGGAGAAUCACAGCUGAGUUUUGAAGGGAACCAGGAUAUCCAAUCUCAAGGAUACAGCUUGGGUGAGGACAGGAACAAUGAAGUUGCGUCUCAGAUAAAUGAAGAACAAGAUAUUUCUUCUCCUGUUGCAGGAAUUUGUUCUACCAAACAGCCAGGGGUUUUGAAACACAAGCUGGUAGAUGAGGUGAUGGUUAGUGAUGAAGAUAGAGCAUCUCGUGUUCUUAAAAUCAAAAGCAAUAAACCACAUGAUUUAGAUGGUGGAGAUGAUAAUGGAAAACAUGGUAGCAAGUCAAAGACUGUGAAAGCAAAGAAGUUAGUCAUAAAUCUAGGAGCACGAAAAAUAAAUGUUACCAACUCCCCAAUGUCUGAUGCUUCAAGCUUUCAAAGAGAACAAGAUGUGAUUUCUUAUAAUGGUGUUCAAUAUGCAAAUCAACAGAGAAUGGAUGACAAGUUUCUGGAUAGGCGUGACAUUGCUGCUAAAUCUGGUGAUGGAGACAGAGUUGAUCACUCCAUUAAGUCAAGAGGUGUGAAAAUUGCGGUAAGAGAAGGGAAUUCAAUAAAGUUUGGAAAAAUUAGGUCAGAAAUUCCUGAAUUGAGGUCCAAAGUCGGUGCAGCAAACAGUUCUGAUGGGUAUGGAAUUGUUCCUCUAGAACACACACCCAUUGCAUCAGGAAAAGGAAGCAUUGAUGGAAGUAGGCUUGCUGCUGCACCUUCAGGUGAGGUCUCCACACUAAGAGGGGGCAAGGUGAUGUCAGGAAAGCAGUUGGAAAACAGGGCUGAUACAUAUGGUGAAAACAAUGCAGAUUAUGGUCGCACACCUGUCUUGAAGCCAAAAGAUCCCAAACCGUCUCUUAAAUUUAAAUUGAAGAAACCUAAUCUUGAGAAUCAGAGUUCUCAGGUUCAUUCUGAGGAAGAAAAGCGUUCUAUAAAGGGCCAAAGGUCAAAAAGAAAAAGACCGUCACCCUUCAUGGAAAAAUCAUUGUUUAUUGAAGAUGAAGAUCUAGAUGUCACACAAUCGCAUCAAGACAGCUUAAUGGAUGGCAUGAUGGACGCUAGUUGGAUUUUAAAAAAGUUGGGUAAAGAUGCAAUUGGAAAGAAAGUUGAAAUUCAUCAGGCCUAUGACAAUUCAUGGCAUAAGGGAGCUGUUACUGACAUCAUUGAAGGCACAUCCACGUUAUCUGUCAUGCUAGAUGAUGGUAGAGUGAAGACUCUGGAACUUGGGAAGCAAGGCGUUCGUUUUGUUCUUCAAAAACAGAAGAGAUCAAAAAUUUGAAACUGAAAGCCUAAUUUAUUCUUAGUCAUCAAACUUGUAUCGUUUUCUCAAUUAAUCUAAUGACUUAAAGCAACCCAUUCCACGAGCCUUUUAUCAAUGUUUCGAGAUUCAAUGACAGAAAGAAAGAUUGCAACCAUUUCCUGAUUACUUUAUUACUCGGCAUGACGUUAUUUGUUAAUGCAAAAGAAUCACCUCAAACAAGAGGGCAUCGGCAAGUCCUUGGCAGACUUUGGGACAUGUUGAUACUGCAAUAUAUGGUGCAACAAGUAGUAGACUUACACGCAGCGAGGUGAUAGAAGAUUGCU
Non-coding RNA from Durio zibethinus, 3127 nucleotides. Lineage: Eukaryota; Viridiplantae; Streptophyta; Magnoliopsida; Malvales; Malvaceae. The record is from RefSeq and is a predicted model, not a curated record.